RNAcentral lists this ribosomal RNA (459 nucleotides) under uncultured bacterium. RNAcentral describes it as "partial 16S ribosomal RNA". It matches the Rfam family "Bacterial small subunit ribosomal RNA", at positions 338 to 795 of the family's 1533-position model. The record is from RNAcentral.
CCUACGGGUGGCAGCAGUGAGGAAUAUUGGUCAAUGGGCGCGAGCCUGAACCAGCCAAGUCGCGUGAGGGAAGACGGUCCUAUGGAUUGUAAACCUCUUUUGUCGGGGAGCAAAAGACGCCACGCGUGGCGUUCCGAGAGUACCCGAAGAAAAAGCAUCGGCUAACUCCGUGCCAGCAGCCGCGGUAAUACGGAGGAUGCGAGCGGUAUCCGGAUUUAUUGGGUUUAAAGGGUGCGCAGGCGGAAGAUCAAGUCAGCGGGAAAAUUGAGAGGCUCAACCUCUUCGAGCCGUUGAACCUGUUUUUCUUGAGUGAGCGAGAAGUAUGCGGAAUGCGUGGUGUAGCGGUGAAAUGCAUAGAUAUCACGCAGAACUCCGAUUGCGAAGGCAGCAUACCGGCGCUCAACUGACGCGCAUGCACGAAAGUGUGGGUAUCGAACAGGAUUAGAUACCCCUGUAGUC